CUACUACUCCCUCCGUCCGAAAAUACUUGUCAUUGAAAUGGAUGUAUCUAGAUGUAUUUUAGUUCUAGACACAUCCAUUUUGAUGACAAGUAAUUCCAGACGGAGAGAGUAUUAU
This is a non-coding RNA of Triticum aestivum (bread wheat), 115 nucleotides long. Lineage: Eukaryota; Viridiplantae; Streptophyta; Magnoliopsida; Poales; Poaceae. The record is from Rfam.